RNAcentral lists this ribosomal RNA (429 nucleotides) under uncultured bacterium. RNAcentral's name for it is "partial 16S ribosomal RNA". It matches the Rfam family "Bacterial small subunit ribosomal RNA", at positions 338 to 795 of the family's 1533-position model. The record is from RNAcentral.
CCUACGGGGGGCUGCAGUAACGAAUCUUCCGCAAUGCACGCAAGUGUGACGGAGCGACGCCGCGUGUGGGACGAAGCCCCUCGGGGUGUAAACCACUGUCAGGGGAUAGAUCAUCCCCAGAGGAAGGCACGGCUAACUCUGUGCCAGCAGCCGCGGUAAGACAGAGGUGCCAAGCGUUAGGCGGAAUCACUGGGCUUAAAGCGUGUGUAGGCGGACCGUUAAGUACCUUGUGAAAUCCCCCGGCUCAACCGGGGAACUGCUGGGUAUACUGGCGGUCUUGGGCCACUUAAGGGCAGAUGGAACAGGCGGUGGAGCGGUGAAAUGCGUAGAUAUCGCCUGGAACGCCAAAGGAGAAAUCAGUCUGCUGGGUGUGCCGACGCUGAGACACGAAAGCCAGGGGAGCGAACGGGAUUAGAUACCCUUGUAGUC